AUUGAACGCUGGCGGCAUGCCUUACACAUGCAAGUCGAACGGCAGCACGGGUGCUUGCACCUGGUGGCGAGUGGCGAACGGGUGAGUAAUACAUCGGAACGUACCUUAUCGUGGGGGAUAACGCAGCGAAAGUUGCGCUAAUACCGCAUACGCCCUGAGGGGGAAAGCGGGGGACCGUAAGGCCUCGCGCGAUUAGAGCGGCCGAUGUCUGAUUAGCUUGUUGGUGAGGUAAAAGCUCACCAAGGCGAUGAUCAGUAGCUGGUCUGAGAGGACGAUCAGCCACACUGGGACUGAGACACGGCCCAGACUCCUACGGGAGGCAGCAGUGGGGAAUUUUGGACAAUGGGGGCAACCCUGAUCCAGCAAUGCCGCGUGAGUGAAGAAGGCCUUCGGGUUGUAAAGCUCUUUUGUCAGGGAAGAAACAGCAGCUCUAACACAGUCUGCGAAUGACGGUACCUGAAGAAUAAGCACCGGCUAACUACGUGCCAGCCGCCGCCGUAA
This 501-nucleotide ribosomal RNA is filed under the name uncultured bacterium. RNAcentral's name for it is "partial 16S ribosomal RNA". It matches the Rfam family "Bacterial small subunit ribosomal RNA", at positions 30 to 523 of the family's 1533-position model. The record is from RNAcentral.